Molecule: ribosomal RNA, 253 nt
Filed under: uncultured bacterium
Lineage: Bacteria
Description: partial 16S ribosomal RNA
Rfam family: Bacterial small subunit ribosomal RNA
Source: RNAcentral
UACGGAGGGUGCAAGCGUUAAUCGGAAUUACUGGGCGUAAAGCGCACGCAGGUGGCUGAGAAAGUCGAUUGUGAAAGCCCUGGGCUUAACCUGGGAACUGCAUCCGAUACUGGAUGGCUUGAAUCCGGGAGAGGGAUGCAGAAUUCCAGGUGUAGCGGUGAAAUGCGUAGAUAUCUGGAGGAAUACCGGUGGCGAAGGCGGCAUCCUGGACCGGCAUUGACGCUGAUGAGCGAAAGCUAGGGGAGCAAACGGG